UACGGAGGGUGCGAGCGUUGUCCGGAAUCACUGGGCGUAAAGAGCUCGUAGGCGGUUUGUCGCGUCGAAUGUGAAAACCCGGGGCUCAACCCCGGGCCUGCAUUCGAUACGGGCAGACUAGAGUUCGGUAGGGGAGUCUGGAAUUCCUGGUGUAGCGGUGAAAUGCGCAGAUAUCAGGAGGAACACCGGUGGCGAAGGCGGGACUCUGGGCCGAUACUGACGCUGAGGCGCGAAAGCUAGGGGAGCAAACAGG
Molecule: ribosomal RNA, 253 nt
Filed under: uncultured bacterium
Lineage: Bacteria
Description: partial 16S ribosomal RNA
Rfam family: Bacterial small subunit ribosomal RNA
Source: RNAcentral